This 507-nucleotide ribosomal RNA is filed under the name Alternaria sp. NCIM 718. RNAcentral's name for it is "eukaryotic LSU rRNA". The stretch from base 140 to 293 matches the Rfam family "5.8S ribosomal RNA". Lineage: Eukaryota; Fungi; Ascomycota; Dothideomycetes; Pleosporales; Pleosporaceae. The record is from RNAcentral.
UCUCGGGGUUACAGCCUUGCUGAAUUAUUCACCCUUGUCUUUUGCGUACUUCUUGUUUCCUUGGUGGGUUCGCCCACCACUAGGACAAACAUAAACCUUUUGUAAUUGCAAUCAGCGUCAGUAACAAAUUAAUAAUUACAACUUUCAACAACGGAUCUCUUGGUUCUGGCAUCGAUGAAGAACGCAGCGAAAUGCGAUAAGUAGUGUGAAUUGCAGAAUUCAGUGAAUCAUCGAAUCUUUGAACGCACAUUGCGCCCUUUGGUAUUCCAAAGGGCAUGCCUGUUCGAGCGUCAUUUGUACCCUCAAGCUUUGCUUGGUGUUGGGCGUCUUGUCUCUAGCUUUGCUGGAGACUCGCCUUAAAGUAAUUGGCAGCCGGCCUACUGGUUUCGGAGCGCAGCACAAGUCGCACUCUCUAUCAGCAAAGGUCUAGCAUCCAUUAAGCCUUUUUUCAACUUUUGACCUCGGAUCAGGUAGGGAUACCCGCUGAACUUAAGCAUAUCAAUAAGC